UACGUAGGGUGCGAGCGUUUAAUCGGAAUUACUGGGCGUAAAGCGUGCGCAGGCGGUUCGUUAUGUCCGAUGUGAAAGCCCCGAGCUCAACUUGGGAAUGGCAUUGGAAACUGGCGGGCUGGAGUGUGGCAGAGGGGGGUGGAAUUCCACGUGUAGCAGUGAAAUGCGUAGAGAUGUGGAGGAACACCGAUGGCGAAGGCAGCCCCCUGGGCCAACACUGACGCUCAGGCACGAAAGCGUGGGGAGCAAACAGG
This 254-nucleotide ribosomal RNA is filed under the name uncultured bacterium. Its description in RNAcentral is "partial 16S ribosomal RNA". It matches the Rfam family "Bacterial small subunit ribosomal RNA", at positions 524 to 776 of the family's 1533-position model. The record is from RNAcentral.